RNAcentral lists this ribosomal RNA (483 nucleotides) under uncultured bacterium. RNAcentral's name for it is "partial 16S ribosomal RNA". It matches the Rfam family "Bacterial small subunit ribosomal RNA", at positions 28 to 523 of the family's 1533-position model. The record is from RNAcentral.
GACGAACGCUGGCGGCGUGCUUAACACAUGCAAGUCGAACGAUGAAGCCCAGCUUGCUGGGUGGAUUAGUGGCGAACGGGUGAGUAACACGUGAGUAACCUGCCCCUGACUCUGGGAUAAGCGUUGGAAACGACGUCUAAUACUGGAUAUGACUACUGGUCGCAUGGCCUGGUGGUGGAAAGAUUUUUUGGUUGGGGAUGGACUCGCGGCCUAUCAGCUUGUUGGUGAGGUAAUGGCUCACCAAGGCGACGACGGGUAGCCGGCCUGAGAGGGUGACCGGCCACACUGGGACUGAGACACGGCCCAGACUCCUACGGGAGGCAGCAGUGGGGAAUAUUGCACAAUGGGCGAAAGCCUGAUGCAGCAACGCCGCGUGAGGGAUGACGGCCUUCGGGUUGUAAACCUCUUUUAGUAGGGAAGAAGCGAAAGUGGCGGUACCUGCAGAAAAAGCACCGGCUAACUACGUGCCAGCAGCCGCCGUAA